RNAcentral lists this ribosomal RNA (253 nucleotides) under uncultured bacterium. RNAcentral's name for it is "partial 16S ribosomal RNA". It matches the Rfam family "Bacterial small subunit ribosomal RNA", at positions 524 to 776 of the family's 1533-position model. The record is from RNAcentral.
GACGGAGGAUGCAAGCGUUAUCCGGAAUCAUUGGGCGUAAAGGGUACGUAGGCGGCUGGUCAAGUCUGGGGUCAAAGGCCACAGCUCAACUGUGGGAAGGCCCUGGAAACUGACCGGCUAGAGUGAGGUAGGGGCUGCGUGAAUUCCCGGUGUAGCGGUGAAAUGCGUAGAGAUCGGGAAGAACACCUGAGGCGGAAGCGCGCAACUGGGCCUCAACUGACGCUGAGGUACGAAAGCUAGGGGAGCGAAUGGG